AUUCUUUUAGUAUAAAUUAAUACAGCUGACUUCCAAUUAGCUAAUCUCGGUUAAACUCCAAGGAAGAAUA
This 70-nucleotide transfer RNA is filed under the name Muraenesox bagio (common pike conger). RNAcentral's name for it is "tRNA-Gly". It matches the Rfam family "tRNA". From Rfam's summary of the family: Transfer RNA (tRNA) molecules are approximately 80 nucleotides in length. The record is from RNAcentral. Lineage: Eukaryota; Metazoa; Chordata; Actinopteri; Anguilliformes; Muraenesocidae.